Molecule: ribosomal RNA, 490 nt
Filed under: uncultured bacterium
Lineage: Bacteria
Description: partial 16S ribosomal RNA
Rfam family: Bacterial small subunit ribosomal RNA
Source: RNAcentral
AUUGAACGCUGGCGGCAGGCCUAACACAUGCAAGUCGAACGGUAACAGGAAGCAGCUUGCUGCUUUGCUGACGAGUGGCGGACGGGUGAGUAAUGUCUGGGAAACUGCCCGAUGGAGGGGGAUAACUACUGGAAACGGUAGCUAAUACCGCAUAACGUCGCAAGACCAAAGAGGGGGACCUUAGGGCCUCUUGCCAUCGGAUGUGCCCAGAUGGGAUUAGCUAGUAGGUGGGGUAACGGCUCACCUAGGCGACGAUCCCUAGCUGGUCUGAGAGGAUGACCAGCCACACUGGAACGGAGACACGGUCCAGACUCCUACGGGAGGCAGCAGUGGGGAAUAUUGCACAGUGGGCGCAAGCCUGAUGCAGCCAUGCCGCGUGUAUGAAGAAGGCCUUCGGGUUGUAAAGUACUUUCAGCGGGGAGGAAGGGAGUAAAGUUAAUACCUUUGCUCAUUGACGUUACCCGCAGAAGAAGCACCGGCUAACUCCGUG